Molecule: long non-coding RNA, 1880 nt
Filed under: Nicotiana benthamiana
Lineage: Eukaryota; Viridiplantae; Streptophyta; Magnoliopsida; Solanales; Solanaceae
Description: long non-coding RNA (NBEN_LNC020251)
Source: RNAcentral
AUGCCUGUCUCUCUCAUAACCUUUCUUCUCUGAAAUUUUCUCUAGAACAUUCGAUCCUCUCUCUUCUCCGAUGGCUUUCCUUGCUGUUCCGGCCACCUCCAACCUCACUACUCUCGACCACCACUCAUCAUGGUACUAUAUCUCGUUGUUUCUCUCUCAAACUCGAAGCCUAGAGGCUUCCUCCAUAAAAGACGGUCGAUUGAGACUCGCUUGAGUCUUUGUUGGCCUUUCUCUGAUGAUAUUCACACGAUAAUGCUCUCCAUGGCGUUAUUAAUGGGGUUUCACGGUCAGGUUCCUCUUUUCUUUAACUCGUCUGCAAACCCUAGUUUUUUUCUACUCAAAUCUCUUUAAUUUUCGGUUUUGAAAAUGAUUUUUAGUUUGAUUCUUUGUUUUCUACUCUCAGUCUCUGAUUAUCUUAAGUUUUUCUACUAUUUCUCUAGGGUUUCUGACCCUUUUGUCCAAAUCGCUUCUUCUGCUUUUUCUGAGUAUUAUAUGUUUAUACUUGUUUGUUUUGCGAGUGUUUGGGUUCUUUAUUAGCCUGAGUUCCAUGCCUUAUUUCUCUGACUAGGGUUUCGACCCUUUGUUUACCUGCUUAGGGUUCUCUUAAAUCCAUGUCUGUUAUGCUUUAUAGGCCUGAGUGGUCAUUGUUUGUGCAAUAUCAUGCUGAUUCUGAGCAUCUCUGUGAAUCCUUGACUGGUCUCUGAUUGUACUUAGACGAUUUUAUUUCUUUUGAAUUAUUUUUUUUCCUUACUUGGGUAUGUCUUCCUUACUUAGAAACAAUUCUCUCUGAUUUUUAGGCCUAAUUCGAGAUUCUUUGAUUAAUUGGUAGAAUUAGCUCAUAUUUUCUUACCAUAUUUGUGCACAAACAUCCGUCUGAAUCUUUAGCCUAUAUUUUCCUUACCGAAGCUGCUAUGUAUCUGACCUUUAUUGAAUACUAUAUGCUUGUUACUUUCACUAGGCUAAAUGUAGUUAAUUGACUCUUUUCGUUUUUGAAACCUAUCCUUGUUACCGUUUUUCUUUGACUCCUUAGUUAAAGGGGAGUCCUGAUACUAAUUGGACUCUUAAUUGAUACUAGUCCCUUGAUUAAAGAUUGCUGCUUGUUUCUGCGCUCGUUUUCCAGUACAAUGAAUACUCCUCCCCAUUCUCUUUAAAACACGAACACACACUGCAUCUCUCUCGUAAUUUCAAACUCUCUGAAUUCUCUCUUUCACUUUCCCUGCUAUCUCUAUACUCUCUCAUUCUCUUAUUUGAAUACUCAACCGGCUGAAAGCCAAGAUUGAGUAGUCUGGGCUGUUUAUCUCUACACUACUAGGUUCUACUGCUCACACUCUCUGCACGCCCUGCUCUGCCUGUGCACUCUUGCUCAUUGCUCUUUGUGUUCUAUUUGUCUGCAACUGGUAUGUUAUCUAUUUAGUAUACAGUCCCCAAAACUAUAUGCUUUUGUUAGUCCUGCACUUCAUAUUGUUCCUAGUGUGCUUCUAUAUGUGGUCCUGCUGUUCCUAUUUUCACUAGUAUGCACUCACUAGCCUACUUAGUUUAAGCUUAGCAUGCUCCCUUUAUCCAUUCCCCUUCUCCAUGUAUGUUUACUUUCCUUGUGUAUUACCACCAUGUGUCCUGGGCUGCUUCGCUACUUGAUUAGCCUAAAAACCUCUUCUUGAGGUUAAGUAUUUGGGGUUUGGUGCAGUAAGAACUGAAACCCCUUGUUUGUUGCAACUGUGUUUGAUUACCUGCCUUCAUUAUGUUUGUCUGUGUGUGAGUAGGUCCCUGUACUUAUCUGUUCCCUCCUCCUUUUCCCCUGUUUGUGUGAUACUCUGUGUUAAACUGGUUAGUACCAAUGAUUUCAAAAGAAUUCCUUUCAACUUUCUCAACUCUCUUAAACU